Long non-coding RNA from Raphanus sativus (radish), 676 nucleotides. RefSeq lists it as uncharacterized. The record is from RefSeq and is a predicted model, not a curated record. The transcript has 5 exons. NCBI's taxonomy places the organism in Eukaryota, Viridiplantae, Streptophyta, Magnoliopsida, Brassicales, Brassicaceae.
GGCAGUAAAAUAUUCUAGGUAAAUAUCUUUGCCAAGGCUGAUGACUUUCAGAAUCAGGCUCACUCUCAUGAAGAUUAUUCAAGGAGGUUUAAACACAAGGGUAGUAUCUUUGCCAAGGCUAAUGACUUUCAGAAUCAGGCUCAACCUCCUGAAGAUUUUGCAAGCAGGUUUGAACCGAAGGAAAAUACAAGUGUGGUGACUGUGGUAGGAAAUACUUUGUUAAUUGGUAUCAAACUAUCAUUCGAAUGUUCAUCUUGAGAUUUUACAGUCUGCAGAGAAACCACAAAAUAAUGUUGAGCUUUCCAAUUCUACUCCACUUCCACCUUCAAAACCAACGCUGUUAAGAUAAAAAAAAAAAAUCUUAAAACAAAUAAUCUCCAGUGUUGUCAUAUAGCCUGCUCUUAAUUUGCUCUAUGUUUCUUCUGCAGACAACUAUUGGCUCAACUUCCAAUCACAUCCAACAACAUGGUGCUUCCUUAACAGAACCAAUGGUUAUAUGAUUAUCCAUUAUAAAGGUCUAAAAGUGGUGGCUGCGACUCUUCUUCUAGAGAAGACAGAGAUCAGAUUCCUUCUACAAACAUCCCCAUCUCAAGACUAGAAUUUUUGAAGGAGCUAUUAAGAGAAGCAUCAGUGGGAAAAUAAACAUAAAAACAGAAGACUUCUGUGCAUUGUCAAU